UACGGGGGGGAGCAAGCGUUGUUCGGAAUUACUGGGCGUAAAGCGCGCGCAGGCGGCUAUCCAAGUCAGUGGUGAAAGCCCGGAGCUCAACUCCGGAACUGCCAUUGAAACUGUUUAGCUUGAGGACGAGAGAGGUGAGUGGAAUUCCCAGUGUAGAGGUGAAAUUCGUAGAUAUUGGGAAGAACACCGGUGGCGAAGGCGGCUCACUGGCUCGUAUCUGACGCUCAGGCGCGAUAGCGUGGGGAUCAAACAGG
This 254-nucleotide ribosomal RNA is filed under the name uncultured bacterium. RNAcentral's name for it is "partial 16S ribosomal RNA". It matches the Rfam family "Bacterial small subunit ribosomal RNA", at positions 524 to 776 of the family's 1533-position model. The record is from RNAcentral.